UACGGAAGGCAGCAGGGGGAAUAUUGCACAAUGGGCGCAAGCCUGAUGCAGCCAUGCCGCGUGUAUGAAGAAGGCCUUCGGGUUGUAAAGUACUUUCAGUCGUGAGGAAGGUGUUAAGGUUAAUAACCUUAGCAAUUGACGUUAGCGACAGAAGAAGCACCGGCUAACUCCGUGCCAGCAGCCGCGGUAAUACGGAGGGUGCGAGCGUUAAUCGGAAUUACUGGGCGUAAAGGGCACGCAGGCGGUUAAUUAAGUUGGAUGUGAAAUCCCCGGGCUUAACCUGGGAAUGGCAUUCAAGACUGGUUAGCUAGAGUCUUGUAGAGGGGGUAGAAUUCCAUGUGUAGCGGUGAAAUGCGUAGAGAUGUGGAGGAAUACCGGUGGCGAAGGCGGCCCCUGGACAAAGACUGACGCUCAUGUGCGAAAGCGUGGGGAGCAAACAGGG
RNAcentral lists this ribosomal RNA (442 nucleotides) under uncultured bacterium. RNAcentral describes it as "bacterial SSU rRNA". It matches the Rfam family "Bacterial small subunit ribosomal RNA", at positions 340 to 777 of the family's 1533-position model. The record is from RNAcentral.